GGGCCUAUAGCUCAGUUGGUUAGAGCACACGCCUGAUAAGUGUGAGGUCGGUGGUUCAAGUCCAUUUAGGCCCA
Molecule: transfer RNA, 74 nt
Filed under: Aster yellows phytoplasma
Lineage: Bacteria; Bacillati; Mycoplasmatota; Mollicutes; Acholeplasmatales; Acholeplasmataceae
Description: tRNA-Ile
Rfam family: tRNA
About the family: Transfer RNA (tRNA) molecules are approximately 80 nucleotides in length. Their secondary structure includes four short double-helical elements and three loops (D, anti-codon, and T loops).
Source: RNAcentral